Molecule: long non-coding RNA, 399 nt
Organism: Lineus longissimus
Lineage: Eukaryota; Metazoa; Nemertea; Pilidiophora; Heteronemertea; Lineidae
Exons: 3
Source: RefSeq, a predicted model, not a curated record
GUGGUAUUUUUGUACAGGGUGAUGCCAAAACAGUGCCUUUUGUUGACUGGUAAACAUUCCUUCAGUUACUAAAAUGCCUUUUUCUUUAAUUUCAGCUGGUUGCAUGGUGUGUACUGCAGAUAACUUCUCGACUUAAUCCUGAUCCUAAGCUGAUGUGAUACUUUAGUUAAUUCGAGAGGCUACAUGUAUAUAGGCCCAGUACGUCGACAUCAUUGAUCCGGCAGUGAACAAGAUAAGUGGUUCAGCCUCCAAGAUGUGUCACCAGAAAUGCAACCGACAUUAUAGACAGGCGUGAUUACUACUCUGAUUUUGGACUGAUGGUAUACUCGUCUUCAAAAUGGACCUGACUAGGAAUGAUGAUGGUGACUUCCCUCCUCAGAAAAAAGCUCGGUUGGAUUC